GGGGAUGAAAUAGUUUCGACAGUUAUGGGUCGACUAGAAUACGCACGUAGUAGUAGGUGCUACUUAAAAAACCAAAAGUCGUUAAAAUUAAACGCAAACAACAACAAUACAGUAGCCGUUGCCGCUUAGUGCAGGCUCGUCGACCUACUCAAUCCGAAUGGGUAGCCAUCGGCGUCGUAAGUUCGGAGAACGAGUGUGCAGAGAUUGCCAUAUGCACAUUAGACCUUUUUGGGAAUAGUUGCGAAGAAGUCGUUAGCAGACUUUGAGUGACGAAUGUGAUUGCUAACUAAACGUGUAGGGUAUUCAGGGACUUCAUGAUUGGACAUGGGUGCAACUCCCAUCAUCUCCACCA
This 352-nucleotide transfer-messenger RNA is filed under the name Clostridia bacterium. It matches the Rfam family "transfer-messenger RNA". From Rfam's summary of the family: Bacterial tmRNA, also known as 10Sa RNA or SsrA, is named for its dual tRNA and mRNA-like properties. Its role is to liberate the mRNA from a stalled ribosome. To accomplish this part of the tmRNA is used as a reading frame that ends in a translation stop signal. Lineage: Bacteria; Bacillati; Bacillota; Clostridia. The record is from RNAcentral.